GACGAACGCUGGCGGCGUGCCUAAUACAUGCAAGUAGAACGCUGAAGAGAGGAGCUUGCUCUUCUUGGAUGAGUUGCGAACGGGUGAGUAACGCGUAGGUAACCUGCCUGGUAGCGGGGGAUAACUAUUGGAAACGAUAGCUAAUACCGCAUAAUAGCAGUUAUUGCAUGAUAACUGUUUGAAAGGUGCAAAUGCAUCACUACCAGAUGGACCUGCGUUGUAUUAGCUAGUUGGUGAGGUAACGGCUCACCAAGGCAACGAUACAUAGCCGACCUGAGAGGGUGAUCGGCCACACUGGGACUGAGACACGGCCCAGACUCCUACGGGAGGCAGCAGUAGGGAAUCUUCGGCAAUGGACGGAAGUCUGACCGAGCAACGCCGCGUGAGUGAAGAAGGUUUUCGGAUCGUAAAGCUCUGUUGUAAGAGAAAGAAACGAGUGUGAGAAGUGGAAAAGUUCCACCACUG
RNAcentral lists this ribosomal RNA (465 nucleotides) under Streptococcus mitis. Its description in RNAcentral is "bacterial SSU rRNA". It matches the Rfam family "Bacterial small subunit ribosomal RNA", at positions 28 to 475 of the family's 1533-position model. Lineage: Bacteria; Bacillati; Bacillota; Bacilli; Lactobacillales; Streptococcaceae. The record is from RNAcentral.